Scylla paramamosain (green mud crab) is the source of this 1249-nucleotide long non-coding RNA. RefSeq lists it as uncharacterized. The record is from RefSeq and is a predicted model, not a curated record. The transcript has 3 exons. Lineage: Eukaryota; Metazoa; Arthropoda; Malacostraca; Decapoda; Portunidae.
GUUCUGUUGUCUCCUCCAAACUCGGUGAGGGGAUCAGUUGUCUUCGGUGACCAUGCGACUGCCCGACCGCCCAAACCUCGGAGCUGCACGGGUGAGCUGCGCCGGCUGUCUUGGAGGGCGUGUGUGGGCGUGGGCUGCAUGGAUCUUCACCACCUCGCUGCAGCACCGCCCUGGCUCAAGCCUCCCGAGUCUGAGUGCAGUGCCAUUCUCGCGUGCCUGGCGGGCUGCCACGGAACAGCAAUAGUAAGACUCGUGGGUCGGCAGUGUUGCUGGUUAAUGAGCGAUUGGUUCCUAAGAAGUCGGAAGACACUUUUUUUUUUUUUUUCAAUUAAAUAUUUAGGAUACGAUUAGUGGUUUUCCAGAGACUCUUUAAGGUAAGAAGAAAUUGAGACACCUGGGUUAAGAAAAUAAAACGCCCUUUAUUGGUAUUUUCCGGAGACACUUUGAGGUAAGAAAUGGAGACGUGUGGGUUAAAAGAAUAAACCUUUAUUAUUUAGUAUGAAGAAUGCAAGUCUCGAAUUAUGUAGCAUGUAUGGAUCCUACGGAACUUUUAUCUUCAACUAAACUAGCUAAUAAAAAAAAAACCCUGGGUCGCCUGUUGCAAAUAAACUAGCUAAUAUAUAUAAAAACUAUGCUGCAUCAACUUUCAACAGGAAUGUGGUACACGUUAGUGUAGCCCGUUAACAAAAAGCAAAAAAGUAUAUACAUUCGUCAAAUAAAUCGUCACCUAAUUGGAGAGUAAAAUGAUUAUUCUUACUAGGCCCCUCUAUUUUUUUUUGUAUGUCAUCCCCGCCAUUAUUAAGAUGAAUCCUCUACACCGAACUCGCUAGUCUUGAAAGUUUCCUCCUUCCUCUACUUGUUUUUGUUUUACUUGUAACAUGUUGUUAAUGUCCUUCUUCCUUUUCCUAUCAACUGCCUCUAUUAUUACAUAACUAACUGCUUGAUCGUUUUUGUUUUACUUGUAACAUGUUGUUAAUGUCCUUCCUUUUCCUAUCAACUGCCUCCAUUAUUACAUAACUGCUUGAUCAUAAACACCACAAAGAAAGCAAAUAAUGUAAACGGGAAAGACAAAAAAGUAUAUAUAUCGCAUAACCUACCUAGCCUGACAAAAAAAACACACCCCAGCAUUGGUUUUUUACCCUCCAAACAAAAAAUCUGUGGUGGUCAGCAAGGGCAGCUAAGGGGGCUCUCCAUUACUGCAGUGCUCUGCGAAGAAUGUCAAUGCAGUGCCAAGUGUGUGGGCGAGUCU